This 412-nucleotide ribosomal RNA is filed under the name uncultured bacterium. RNAcentral describes it as "bacterial SSU rRNA". It matches the Rfam family "Bacterial small subunit ribosomal RNA", at positions 94 to 541 of the family's 1533-position model. The record is from RNAcentral.
AGUGGCAGACGGGUGAGUAACGCGUGGGAAUCUACCCAGUACUACGGAACAACAGUUAGAAAUGACUGCUAAUACCGUAUACGCCCUCCGGGGGAAAGAUUUAUCGGUAUUGGAUGAGCCCGCGUUUGAUUAGCUAGUUGGUGAGGUAACGGCUCACCAAGGCGACGAUCAAUAGCUGGUCUGAGAGGACGAUCAGCCACACUGGGACUGAGACACGGCCCAGACUCCUACGGGAGGCAGCAGUGGGGAAUAUUGGACAAUGGGCGCAAGCCUGAUCCAGCCAUGCCGCGUGUGUGAUGAAGGCCCUAGGGUUGUAAAGCACUUUCAACGGUGAAGAUAAUGACGGUAACCGUAAAAGAAGCUCCGGCUAACUUCGUGCCAGCAGCCGCGGUAAUACGAAGGGAGCUAGCGU